GACGAACCGUGCGAACGUUAUUCGGAAUCACUGGGCUUAAAGCGCGUGUAGGCGGGACGGCACGUCGGUCGCUGAAAUCCCCCGGCUUAACCGGGGAACUGGCGUCGAUACGACCGUCCUGGAGGGGCGUAGGGGGACCUGGAACUUCCGGUGGAGCGGUGAAAUGCGUUGAGAUCGGAAGGAACGCCCGUGGCGAAAGCGAGGUCCUGGACGCCUACUGACGCUGAGACGCGAAAGCGUGGGGAGCGAACAGG
RNAcentral lists this ribosomal RNA (254 nucleotides) under uncultured bacterium. RNAcentral describes it as "partial 16S ribosomal RNA". It matches the Rfam family "Bacterial small subunit ribosomal RNA", at positions 524 to 776 of the family's 1533-position model. The record is from RNAcentral.